GAUGAAGAACGUAGCGAAAUGCGAUAAGUAAUGUGAAUUGCAGAAUUCAGUGAAUCAUCGAAUCUUUGAACGCACAUUCCGCCCGCCAGUAUUCUGGCGGGCAUGUCUGUUCGAGCGUCAUUUCAACCAUCAAGCCCCCGGGCUUGUGUUGGGGACCUGCGGCUGCCGCAGGCCCUGAAAAGCAGUGGCGGGCUCGCUGUCACACCGAGCGUAGUAGAUUUUAUCUCGCUCAGGGCGUGCUGCGGGUUCCGGCCGUUAAACCACCUUCAUAACCCAAGGUUGACCUCGGAUCAGGUAGGAAGACCCGCUGAACUUAAGCAUAUCAAUAAGCGGAGGA
This 337-nucleotide unclassified non-coding RNA is filed under the name soil metagenome. RNAcentral's name for it is "partial contains 5.8S ribosomal RNA, internal transcribed spacer 2, and large subunit ribosomal RNA". The stretch from base 1 to 120 matches the Rfam family "5.8S ribosomal RNA", at positions 35 to 154 of the family's 154-position model. The record is from RNAcentral.